GUGACGAAGCGACGCCGCGUGUGGGAAGAAGGCCUUCGGGUUGUAAACCACUGUCGGGAGUUAGGAAAUGCAGGUGCGUUAAUAGCGCACUUGCUUGACUAAGGCUCCAGAGGAAGCCACGGCUAACUCUGUGCCAGCAGCCGCGGUAAUACAGAGGCGGCAAGCGUUGUUCGGAAUUAUUGGGCGUAAAGAGCACGUAGGCGGCCUUGCAAGUCAGUUGUGAAAGCCUUCCGCUUAACGGAAGAACGGCAUCUGAUACUACAGGGCUUGAGUACGGGAGGGGAGAGUGGAACUUCUGGUGGAGCGGUGAAAUGCGUAGAUAUCAGAAGGAACGCCGGCGGCGAAAGCGACUCUCUGGUCCGAAACUGACGCUGAGUGUGCGAAAGCUAGGGGAGCAAACGGGAUUAGAUACCCCGGUAGUCCUAGCCGUAAACGAUGGGCACUAAGUAGAGGGGUUUUGAUUAUUUCUCUGCCGGAGCUAACGCAUUAAGUGCCCCGCCUGGGGAGUACGGCCGCAAGGCUAAAACUCAAAAGAAUUGACGGGGGCUCGCACAGGCGGUGGAGCAUGUGGCUUAAUUCGAUGCAACGCGAAGAACCUUACCGGGGCUUGACAUGGUAGAAGUAGAAUCCUGAAAGGGUGACGAUCGGUAUCCAGUCCGAAGCUAUCACAGGUGUUGCAUGGCUGUCGUCAGCUCGUGUCGUGAGACGUUGGGUUAAGUCCCCUAACGAGCGAAACCCUUGUCUUUAGUUGCUAACGGGUAAUGCUGAGCACUUUAGAGAGACUGCCGUCGUUAAGACGGAGGAAGGUGGGGACGACGUCAAGUCAUCAUGGCCCUUAUGUCCCGGGCUGCACACGUGCUACAAUGGUCGGUACAAAGGGAUGCUAAGUCGCGAGAUGGUGCGAAACCUAUAAAGCCGAUCUCAGUUCAGAUUGGAGGCUGAAACUCGCCUCCAUGAAGUUGGAAUCGCUAGUAAUCGCGGAUCAGCUACGCCGCGGUGAAUAUGUUCCCGAGCCUU
RNAcentral lists this ribosomal RNA (1017 nucleotides) under uncultured anaerobic ammonium-oxidizing bacterium. RNAcentral describes it as "bacterial SSU rRNA". It matches the Rfam family "Bacterial small subunit ribosomal RNA", at positions 383 to 1382 of the family's 1533-position model. The record is from RNAcentral.